Molecule: long non-coding RNA, 555 nt
Organism: Daphnia magna
Lineage: Eukaryota; Metazoa; Arthropoda; Branchiopoda; Diplostraca; Daphniidae
Exons: 6
Source: RefSeq, a predicted model, not a curated record
GGAAGCCGUUUUAGCAGAAGACGAGUUGACUAUUGGAAGUGUUUCCACGCCAUUUCUCCAGCAUUCAGAGAUGGCUUCGUCGAGAACAAGGUUCUAAGUACUUGUCAGGGCGAAUCUUCAAUCGAAGCAUACGCGAAUACCACGUGGUGAGACUUUGACAAAAAUAUGAUGAAGCAAUUACGGGGAAGUACUUGUGGAAUAUCUUGCACAGUGAAAGUUGUGUUCAAACUUUCUUGAUGGACUUCAAACAUGUUCGUGGCUUUUAAUGUAUAUUUGCCCAUGUUGGAACUGAUGGCAUAAUGAGUGCCAGACAGGUGGAGAACUGGUCUGUUUGAUGGCUGUGAGCUUUUUCGUUACUGGUGAAGAGGAUUGGGUUCGUGGUUCGAGAGGCUAUUUCUGUACCUGAGCACUAGGCCUUGGCGAAUAUGGUCAGCCCUACCGUCUCGUUGUGUUGGGACAACGUCAUUUAAUUGUUGAGGUAUAGCUUCUGAAUGAACUGGUCAUUUAUGGAUGUUGUCUAUAUCUUGGUUCUGAAAUACAUUGUCUAUCCUUAAA